Molecule: long non-coding RNA, 2026 nt
Organism: Physeter macrocephalus (sperm whale)
Lineage: Eukaryota; Metazoa; Chordata; Mammalia; Artiodactyla; Physeteridae
Exons: 3
Source: RefSeq, a predicted model, not a curated record
AAUCUUAGACUCAGCAGGCUUAGCAAUGUCCAGAAAAAGCCCUGCAAACGCCUCUGUGUCGCCAAUAUCAAAUGAAUAUGUGGGUCAUCUGAACUGCUAGCUGCUGAUGAGCUCUCUGAGCACGUGGCCCACUGUUUCACUGCUACCUUGAAGGUGAAGACCUGACUGCCCAGAGGCCAGCUGAGAAGACCACGGAGCCCCACACUCAGAGCUGGAAGAGGAAGGUCACACAGAAACACACGCCGCCCGCCACGUCCUGCCAAUCGGUCCAAAUGGAGCUCCUUCUUAACUCUCUGAAUUACAGAAAGCUUGUAGAAGACACCUGGAUUCUCAUAUCUGCUUUUGCAUUCAAUUUGUUUCAAUCACAUGUCUGGAAAACUCUACUGUACAUGAAAGAGAAUGUCUCUACAUGUGAGAGAAUGAGGGUAGGUGAAAAAGGCAAAUGAUGCCACAUUACAACGAAAGUAGUUUGGGCCUUGUGGAAUUCCUGAAAGGGUCUUAAGGAUUCCUGCCCCCUGAACACCUGGACCACACUUUGAGAAGCACUGUGUUACUGGAAACGAGGAAUGAAAGUGUUUCCCCACACUUUAUUCUAGAGGAAACGGAAGCUAGGUUUCUUCCAUUGCUAAUAAUUCUGGCGCUGAGUUUAAAGGCCACCAAAAUCUAUUUGAACAAGGAAGAUCAAGUUUGAGGCCAGAGUGCUAGUGCCUGAGAUAUGGGGAGGGGCUUCACUAAGACGAGAAAAAGAUUCACCCAGGAUGGAGAGGGCUGUUUUCAGAGCACCCGGGACUCAGGCCCUUUUUGGGGGGCAGCCCACAGGAGGAAGCAAGACCCUCGGAAGAACAGCCGUCCCCGGCUCCCGGCGUGUUCGUGCGGAUCGGGAGGAGCGGUGUCCUGAGAGUGAGCUGGGGGACACAGAGCACAGAGGACUUCCAGACUUCAAAAUCCUUUGGCAAGGGGUAGGACACUGGCCCUGGACGCAACUCCGAGGAUAAAUGCAGCACCAGGAGUUACUCAAGUUCAAGCUCCCUUCAGGAGUGCUGUCGCAAGCAGAAAAUUUAAGGAGGCAAAGAAAUGUGGUAUUUCUUCCACACUGGAGACCAGGGACUGAGGGUCCUACUCACUUCUCUUGUAUCUGUCUUGCCUACCUUGGGAAGCCCCAGCAAGCCAGGCAUUCGUCCCUGCCACGUGUGCAGCACACAGCCCACUCUGAGGCCUCCGUGAGAGCUAAAUGGCUCAGCCAGUCAGCCUAGCUUAUCUGGGCUCAAAGAUGCCACAAGAGGUGAAAAAGAGAAAAUGGAAUAGUUACCUUCCAAGGGUCAAGCUCUCAGCACCCGGGGUCACUUAGCCAGGAGCUGUGCUGUGGGCUUACACUGGAUAUGGCAGGCAGCUCAUCUUCCUCUAAACCUCAGUGUCCUCAUCUGUAAGUUGGAGAAGCCUUCGUACGCUCUCGGCUUGGUGUAAGGAUCAGCUGAACUCGUUCAUGGAAAAACACCUCACAUAGUCUGGUAUCUAGAACAAAGUAACGGCUCACCUGCUUUUCCUUGACCCCACUCACCCGGGGCUCCUGCAGGGCAUCCGCCCCGCGCCCCCCCCGGGUCAGAGCGCCUUACGAUUUCUCACAGUCCCCCUCUGCCUCUGCUGCGUGCCGCCGCUGUGAUUCUACACGGCUCUGUGGGGCUCCUCUCCUGCCUCAGCAGAAGCUCCACGAGCGCAGGAAGAACGCCCUGGCUUUCCUUCUCUCCACUGCAGUCCCUGUGUCAAGCACGGCGUUUGGUACUUCACGGGCAUGCAGUGCUGGGGCGAAGAAAGGAAGGGACACGGAAUGCAUACUUAUUAUUAGUUCAGAAAAACUCCGCUCUGUGGUUUGGGAAUACGAUGGAAGAUUAGAAUUCAAGAAUCUGAGAUUCAAAGGGAAAAUGAAGAGACAGGAGAAAACAUACAACCUUAAGGAAGCAAAGAAUACAGGCUUCAGGAAGGCACAACACACCCAUCAGAGCCCUUGUGGGCCCCCGAGUAGGAGAAC